RNAcentral lists this transfer RNA (75 nucleotides) under bacterium. RNAcentral describes it as "tRNA-OTHER". It matches the Rfam family "tRNA". Rfam says of the family: Transfer RNA (tRNA) molecules are approximately 80 nucleotides in length. Their secondary structure includes four short double-helical elements and three loops (D, anti-codon, and T loops). Further hydrogen bonds mediate the characteristic L-shaped molecular structure. tRNAs have two regions of fundamental functional importance: the anti-codon, which is responsible for specific mRNA codon recognition, and the 3' end, to which the tRNAs corresponding amino acid is attached (by aminoacyl-tRNA synthetases). tRNAs cope with the degeneracy of the genetic code in two manners: having more than one tRNA (with a specific anti-codon) for a particular amino acid; and 'wobble' base-pairing, i.e. permitting non-standard base-pairing at the 3rd anti-codon position. The record is from RNAcentral.
GCCCUUAUAGCUCAGUGGUUAGAGCGCGAGCAUGAAAAACUGCCGAGGUCUCCGGUUCGAGCCCGGGUGGGGGCA